This is a long non-coding RNA of Hylaeus anthracinus, 2556 nucleotides long. RefSeq lists it as uncharacterized. The transcript is spliced from 10 exons. NCBI's taxonomy places the organism in Eukaryota, Metazoa, Arthropoda, Insecta, Hymenoptera, Colletidae. The record is from RefSeq and is a predicted model, not a curated record.
UUAACAUAGGACACAAAAGAGCUGAUAAUGUUGUCGUAAUAAGUAAUUUAUCGGUUUAGUGUGUAACUACGUGAAAGCAGAAGUGACUGGAAGUCGAUUGUAAACAUCUAUCGCAGUUGGUAAGCUCCAACAGCUCCGCGAACGUCUGCGAGGCGGAUCUUCCUGGCUCGUCCUCCAACACGCUAUCCGGUGGGCUGUUCAACAUCUUCGCGUACUUGCCGUCUUGGGGCUGUGGCUGCUGGUGAUGGUGACCUCUCGUCUCGUCCAAGCCAAGAAACGUAAUUGCGGACAGGAGGGUGUACACACCGUCUUUCCUCUUGGACUUCUAUCAAUCUGGAGGUAGGGGGUUCCUUGCGUUCCUCGUUGUCGCUGUUGUCGUCAGGGUCGACGAAAACUAGCCUGGCCGCUUCCACAGGUGUCAGGACAGGUGUAGGUGGCUUUUGUCUUCGGCGAGCCAGCGUGUUGGCGCUCCGUGACUUCACCAUCCCCGUUGACGGUUCGACGACCUCCGCGUCUACUUGCUGAAAUGGAUAAUACGAGUUCGCCUGCGGGCAGGCUCAAAUUGUCACAUGCGUUUCGUUUUUGCAAACGCGAGGUUUAAUUCGGGUGCAAAUAACGGGAACGAAAAAUAUAACGAAACGAUACGGCGAAGCUCGGUCUAGCCGGUGCCUCGUUCGGUGAUAUCCUGCUGUUGCACAGCCUCGUCCUUUGAUUUCUCGGCUUGUACUUCGCGUUGUCGAGGCGGCGUGACCGUGAAGGGGCCCUGGACCGGGCUUAUUUUUCAAUAGACACCAGGAGGCUGCAUUCACGUCCCAUCGCCAACAGUCGCUCCUCUCUUGGAGGUCGGUCAUACCCCCGUAAACGUACAUCGCAUCGCCAUGAAGAACCGCUGAAUGUUUAUGCCUCGCUGCCGGGCCGCAUUCACUGGACGAAAGAAGGUGCCAGGAUUCCGUUUCUAAAGGGUGAAUUAUGAAAAUUAUCCAGGAAUAUUAAAUAAACAGUACGUAUUUUUACAGGAUGCGGGAGAAAAUUUGACCUCUAAGCUGUAUUCGUCCUAGAACGAAAUUCAAAUAAUUCGAGUGAAUGCAUAAAACUAGUCCGAGUAACUAGAAAAUUUGGAACUUUGUACAAAUUUCGUACAAGUUUAAACCACGAGUUAAUGAAGUAUCUUAUCGUUUUACCAAAGUGAAACGCCCACAGCUCUGGGGAGCUUCCACGCAAAUCUUGAUAGCCACCGUAGAUGAGCAUUUGACCUCGAUGAACCAAUGCCGUAUGGCCUCUUCGUCCUCUAGGAACUGCACAGCCCCGUUGCGCUCUCACCUUUCUCCACAUUUCAUAGAUUACGCGAGUUGGGUGACAAUAAGCUUGGAAAUACUCUAAUUCCGACUAGACAGGAGAGGUUUCUGAAUGCGACUGGGAUUGGCCAGAACAAAAGGCACAGAAGGACUCCAAUUUGUCACUCCCUUAUUUUGCCGUUUGAAUAGGCUCGAGUUUAAUGCUCGAGGCACCAGCUGAAGACUUAGAAGGUUUACUAUUCUCCCUCGAUUAAUUCACAUAACAAAAGGUUCUACUCUACAAAUAUUUACACGUGGGAAAUGGUCCAUUUUCAAUGUUCAGAAAAAUUGUCUUGAAUUCGCUGGCCGGUCGUAUCGAAAUACGAGACCUGAAUGGAAAGGGUUAAUACCAUGAACUGGAACGCACGUCGGUGGUUCUUUUGACGCGCGGUGGUUCAAUCAUGGAUCUUUUGCUUAGGCCAGUGAAUCUCGGCUAGCCAAGAAGAUAGGAGAAAAUACGUUGGCUUAGCCGAGGGUCCGCGAUCAUACACGCAAAGGAGGGAAGAUGGAAGGAAGGUUUAUAGGCUCCGUUGCAGGGGCGCUGAAAGUAAUUACGUAACUUGAAGUACGUGCCUAAAGUUGAUAGGUCUGUACAGCCACUUGCGUCUACCCCGUAUUACGACAUGAGGGGGACGCAGAAGGGUGGAGUAGUGGCUAAAUUCGCCAUCGACGUUAAAACGCUGUAAAAUUAGCGAGAAAACAGUUGUCACCGACGCCGAAUGCACCAAUUUUCAAGAAUUCAUUUUUCCAAUUUAAUCUUAUUUAGGAAACACUCCCACUUCUAAAUCGGAGGGACCUCCGAAAAGUUUGGAGACCGCGGGAUUAAAGGAACAAAGUCGAGCCGAACGAAGCAAGGCAGAGAAUAUUCAACAGGGUGGAAUAUAUUUUUCCACUUUCGAUUCCCCGUAAACGGAAGAGAAUUUUAACGAGAAGCACAGAGGGAAGACGAAAGAGUGGAAAGUGAACAGGACACGGGGCGACCCCUCGACGGUUUAACCAAUCGGGUUUGCCUGGCGCAUUCGUAACGCGGAUUUCAAUAAUACACGGCGAAGACACGAGUAACGGGGAGUAUCCCUGGUCUCCGACAUGGUCCAACGGAUAAAAACAAAUGGACCGAACGUAACCAUAGCGACACGCAGCAUUGGAAAAAAGUUUGGACCCUCCGAAAAAAGGACGAGAAGGAUGGGUGAGCGUAGUACGUCGAUCGUACUUUUUCUGUUAA